Molecule: ribosomal RNA, 753 nt
Filed under: uncultured Clostridium sp.
Lineage: Bacteria; Bacillati; Bacillota; Clostridia; Eubacteriales; Clostridiaceae
Description: bacterial SSU rRNA
Rfam family: Bacterial small subunit ribosomal RNA
Source: RNAcentral
GCGCGAAAGUUAGGGGAGCGAACGGGAUUAGAUACCCCGGUAGUCCUAGCCGUAAACGAUGGUACUAGGUGUAGGGGGUAUCGACCCCCCNUGUGCCGGAGUUCACGCAAUAAGUACCCCGCCUGGGGAGUACGGCCGCAAGGUUGAAACUCAAAGGAAUUGACGGGGGCCCGCACAAGCAGUGGAGCAUGUGGUUUAAUUCGAUGCAACGCGCAGAACCUUACCAGGGCUUGACAUCCCGCGAAGACCCGGGAAACCGGGGGGGCCCCGUGAGGGGACGCGGAGACAGGUGAUGCAUGGUUGUCGUCAGCUCGUGUCGUGAGAUGUUGGGUUCAGUCCCGCAACGAGCGCAACCCUCGUCCGCUGUUGCCAGCGUAAAGACGGGCACUCAGCGGAGACUGCCGGAGACGAUCCGGAGGAAGGUGGGGAUGACGUCAAAUCAUCAUGCCCCUUAUGCCCUGGGCCACACACGUGCUACAAUGGCCGGUACAGCGAGAAGCCAUGCCGCGAGGCAGAGCGGAUCUCUCAAAGCCGGUCGUAGUUCGGAUCGCAGGCUGCAACUCGCCUGCGUGAAGCCGGAAUUGCUAGUAAUCGCGGAUCAGCACGCCGCGGUGAAUACGUUCCCGGGCCUUGUACACACCGCCCGUCACACCACGAAAGUGGGCAACACCCCAAGCCGGGGGAGCCAACCCGCAAGGGAGGCAGCCGUNGAAGGUGGGGCCCAUGAUUGGGGUGAAGUCGUAACAAGGUACC